UGCCGGCGUGGCGGAACUGGCAGACGCGCAGGACUCAAAAUCCUGUGCCCGCGAGGGCGUGCCGGUUCGAUCCCGGCCGCCGGUAU
Molecule: transfer RNA, 86 nt
Filed under: Jeotgalibaca dankookensis
Lineage: Bacteria; Bacillati; Bacillota; Bacilli; Lactobacillales; Carnobacteriaceae
Description: tRNA-Leu
Rfam family: tRNA
About the family: Transfer RNA (tRNA) molecules are approximately 80 nucleotides in length. Their secondary structure includes four short double-helical elements and three loops (D, anti-codon, and T loops).
Source: RNAcentral